GAUUCCUUUAAAUUAGUCCUGUGAGGCUGAUAAGGUUAUUCUUGCUAGAGUUUAAGCUCCUUAUUGGGUUCCCGGUAAGGAGCUUUUUUA
Non-coding RNA from Halobacteroidaceae bacterium, 90 nucleotides. Lineage: Bacteria; Bacillati; Bacillota; Clostridia; Halanaerobiales; Halobacteroidaceae. The record is from Rfam.